AGCCUGUUGUUAGGAACCUGCUUGGCCUCGGAUCUGAGGGGCUUUAGGUUGGCUGUGGCUGUGACUGAAGCAGUCGCCGGGGAAAGUCCACUGGAAGGAAGGCGCCAUGGACGAUCAGGGCUGCCCCCGGUGUAAGACCACCAAGUACCGGAACCCUUCGUUGAAGCUGAUGGUGAAUGUGUGCGGACAUACUCUGUGUGAAAGUUGUGUGGAUUUACUCUUUGUGAGAGGAGCUGGAAACUGUCCUGAGUGUGGCACUCCACUUCGAAAGAGCAACUUCAGGGUACAGCUCUUUGAAGAUCCUACUGUUGACAAGGAAGUUGAGAUUCGGAAAAAAGUGCUAAAGAUAUACAAUAAAAGGGAAGAAGACUUUCCUAGUCUAAGAGAAUAUAAUGAUUUCCUGGAAGAAGUGGAAGAAAUUGUUUUCAACUUGACCAACAAUGUGGAUUUGGACAAUACCAAAAAGAAAAUGGAGAUAUACCAAAAGGAAAACAAAGAUGUCAUUCAGAAAAAUAAGUUAAAGCUGACUCGGGAACAGGAGGAAUUGGAAGAAGCUUUAGAAGUAGAACGACAGGAAAAUGAACAAAGAAGACUAUUUAUACAAAAAGAAGAACAAAUGCAGCAGAUUCUCAAAAGGAAGAAUAAGCAGGCUUUUUUAGAUGAACUGGAGAGUUCUGAUCUCCCCGUUGCUCUGCUUCUGGCUCAGCAUAAAGAUAGAUCUACCCAAUUGGAAAUGCAAAUUGAAAAACCUAAACCUGUAAAACCAGGGACAUUUUCCACAGGCAUCAAAAUGGAGAUACUGCCAAAACAUUUUCCAAAGUGGCUUUUACCAAUCGUACUUCUACCAACACUUGUGCCUUUCUGUUUUUUCCACUGUAAUCAUUCUGGGUCAGCAUAUUUCAUUAGCACCCAUUCAAAAACUUGAAGAAGCUCUGUAUGAAUACCAACCACUGCAGAUAGAGACAUGUGGACCACAGGUUCCUGAGCUUGAGAUGCUAGGAAGACUUGGGUAUUUAAACCAUGUCAGAGCUGCCUCGCCACAGGACCUUGCUGGAGGCUAUACUUCUUCUCUGGCUUGUCACAGAGCACUACAGGAUGCAUUCAGUGGGCUUUUCUGGCAGCCCAGUUAACCUUUAUUUCUCCCCUAUAAGAUCUGGACCUUGGAGCCGAACCAGAGAGCUAGCAAAAGUAAGGCAGACUUGUAAAAUUAUAGCCAUGUACAGCUGCACAACAACAGUCCUACCACUAGCAGCUGCAUUAAAGUAUUUAUAGAGAGAAAUUUUCAGAACUAAGUUGGGUAAUAUAGUGGAUAAAUAUUUGUGGAAAAGAUUUAUUUUUUACUUAUAUUUUUCUGAGCAGGAUUGAAGCCGUAAGCCUCAUCUGAUGGAAGAUAUGAAUAAUUCACCUAUGUGAGUUUGAGGUUGACAGACUUGUAAAAUCUUUUAAAAAAUA
This is an RNA transcript of Budorcas taxicolor (takin), 1452 nucleotides long. It is a transcript of the gene named MNAT1 component of CDK activating kinase, with no coding region annotated. The transcript is spliced from 9 exons. NCBI's taxonomy places the organism in Eukaryota, Metazoa, Chordata, Mammalia, Artiodactyla, Bovidae. The record is from RefSeq and is a predicted model, not a curated record.